Non-coding RNA from Cajanus cajan (pigeon pea), 238 nucleotides. NCBI's taxonomy places the organism in Eukaryota, Viridiplantae, Streptophyta, Magnoliopsida, Fabales, Fabaceae. The record is from RefSeq and is a predicted model, not a curated record.
AAGGUUAGACUAGGUGUCGAUAAGGGAAAUUGGAUCCCUGAAAAUGCUCGAGCUAUUUUGGAUCAACAUUGGGCUUCUGAAAAAUUCCAAAACAAAAGUAAUACUGCUAAAGGGAAUCGGGCUGUAGAGAAUGGAGCAACAGCUUACACUGGUGGCUCCAUAUCUGCAGGAGCCCACUUUGAAAAAUUGGCGAAGGAGCUAAAUCGUCCCCCUACUGCUUGGGAAUUAGUGGAAAAGA